This 269-nucleotide ribosomal RNA is filed under the name uncultured prokaryote. RNAcentral describes it as "partial 16S ribosomal RNA". It matches the Rfam family "Bacterial small subunit ribosomal RNA", at positions 524 to 792 of the family's 1533-position model. The record is from RNAcentral.
UACGGAGGUGGCAAGCGUUGUUCGGAAUUACUGGGUGUAAAGGGCAUGUAGGUGUCCCUGCAAGUCUCGGUUGAAAUCCUUCGGCUCAACCGGAGAACUGGUCGAGAAACUGCAGGGAUUGAGGGCAGAAGAGGAGAGUGGAAUUCCCGGUGUAAGGGUGAAAUCUGUAGAUAUCGGGAGGAACACCAGUGGCGAAGGCGACUCUCUGGUCUGCAACUGACACUGAAAUGCGAAAGCUAAGGGAGCAAACAGGAUUAGAUACCCUCGUA